This 436-nucleotide ribosomal RNA is filed under the name uncultured bacterium. RNAcentral describes it as "bacterial SSU rRNA". It matches the Rfam family "Bacterial small subunit ribosomal RNA", at positions 954 to 1392 of the family's 1533-position model. The record is from RNAcentral.
GCUAAACGCGAAGAACCUUACCACCUUUUGACAUGCCCGGACCACCAGAGAGAUCUGGCUUUCCCUUCGGGGACUGGGACACAGGUGCUGCAUGGCUGUCGUCAGCUCGUGUCGUGAGAUGUUGGGUUAAGUCCCGCAACGAGCGCAACCCUUAUUAACAGUUGCCAUCAUUAAGUUGGGCACUCUGUUGAGACCGCCGGUGAUAAAUCGGAGGAAGGUGGGGACGAUGUCAAGUCAUCAUGGCCUUUAUGCUUAGGGCUACACACGUGCUACAAUGGACGGUACAAAACGUCGCGAUCCCGCGAGGGGGAGCUAAUCGCAAAAACCGUUCUCAGUUCGGAUUGAAGUCUGCAACUCGACUUCAUGAAGUUGGAAUCGCUAGUAAUCGCGAAUCAGAAUGUCGCGGUGAAUACGUUCCCGGGUCUUGUACACACCG